This 1313-nucleotide ribosomal RNA is filed under the name Philotrypesis tridentata. RNAcentral describes it as "16S ribosomal RNA". The record is from RNAcentral. Lineage: Eukaryota; Metazoa; Arthropoda; Insecta; Hymenoptera; Pteromalidae.
AUAAAUUUAUUUAUAUAAAUUUAUAUUAAAUUUAAUUUUUUUAUUUAAAAUAAUAAAAAAUUUUUUAUAUUUAAGUAAUUAAAAUAAAAUAAAAUUAAUUUAUAUAAUUUUAGUAUUGAAAAAGAAUAAUUUAAUUAUUUUAAAAUAAUUUUAAUUUAUUUUUACCUUUUGUAUCAGGGUUUAUUAAAUUUAUUAAUUAUAUAAUUAAAUCUCGAAAUAAAUUGAUUUAAAUUUUUAUUAUAUUUAAUAUUUAAUUAUUAUUAUUAAUUAAAAUUUAGAGAUGAAAUAUUUUACAAAAUUUAUAAUAUCUAGUUAUUUUAUAAAUAAAUUAAAUUUAAUUAUUAAUAUUAUAAAAAUUUAAUUUUUUAAAAUUUUUAUUAUAUUUAUAGUAAAAUUAUUAGGGAUAAACUUAAUAAUAAUUUUAAUAUAAUACAUUAAUUGAUUUUUAUUAUAAGAAUAAUAAUUUUUAAUAAUAAAUAAUAUUUAAUCAUUAAAAUUUUAAAAAAUUAAAUUUUUAAUUUAUUUAAUUAAUUAUAAAAUAAAAAAUUUUAAUUAAAUUUAUUUAAUUAUAAUGAUAAAAUUAGUAAAUAUAAAUUAUAGUAAAUUUAUUAAAAUGAAAGAUUAGUUUAAGGAAUUAGGCAAAAAUAUUUAUUCAUCUGUUUAUUAAAAACAUAGUUUAUUGAAAUUAAUAUUAAAUAAAAUCUGCUCAAUGAUUUAAAAUUAAAUAGCUGCAGUAUUCUAACUGUACAAAGGUAGCAUAAUCAAUUGUCUUUUUAUUAAAGUCUGGAAUGAAAGAUUAAAUGAAAUAAAAACUGUCUCUAGUUAAAUAAUAAUUAAAAUUAAUUUUAAGUUAAAAUUCUUAAAUUUAUUUAAAAGACGAGAAGACCCUAUAGAAUUUUAUUAAUAAUUUAUUUAAAUUAUUUAAUUAAAUAAUUUAAAUAAAUUAAUUUAUUAAAUUGGGGAAAUUAUAAAAUUUUAUUAAUUUUUAUAAAUUAUUUAAUAAUAAUUUUUAUAAAUUUUAAAAUUGUAAUAAAAUUAAUUAUAUUAAAUAUAAAAUAAAUUACCUUAGGGAUAACAGCGUUAAAUUUUUAAAGAGUUCAUAUUGAUAAAAAUUUUUGCGACCUCGAUGUUGAAUUAAAAUAAAUUAUUAUUGAAGAUAAUAAUAUAAUUUAGUCUGUUCGACUAUUAAAAUUUUACAUGAUUUGAGUUUAGAUCGGUGUAAGCCAGAUCGGAUUCUAUCUUUAAAUAAAUUAAAUAUUUUUGUACGAAAGGACUUUAUAUUAAUAUUAAAUAUUACAAUUAGAAUAAUAAUA